This 99-nucleotide ribosomal RNA is filed under the name uncultured bacterium. RNAcentral's name for it is "partial 16S ribosomal RNA". The record is from RNAcentral.
UGGGAACGUACCCUUCAGUUCGGAACAACCCAGGGAAACUUGGGCUAAUACCGGAUACGUCCGUAAGGAGAAAGAUUUAUCGCUGAAGGAUCCNCGCCG